UUGCUUGCUUUGGCAGCACAUACACUAAAAUUGGAAUGAUAAAGAGAAGAUUAGCAUGGCCCCUGUGCAAGGAUGACAUGCAAAUUUGUGAAGCAUUCCAUAUUUUU
This 107-nucleotide small nuclear RNA is filed under the name Octodon degus (degu). The record is from RNAcentral. Lineage: Eukaryota; Metazoa; Chordata; Mammalia; Rodentia; Octodontidae.